Balaenoptera acutorostrata (minke whale) is the source of this 363-nucleotide long non-coding RNA. RefSeq lists it as uncharacterized. NCBI's taxonomy places the organism in Eukaryota, Metazoa, Chordata, Mammalia, Artiodactyla, Balaenopteridae. The record is from RefSeq and is a predicted model, not a curated record. The transcript is spliced from 4 exons.
GCCGUGGCAAAGAAGCAGGCUGCGGGCGGCAGGAAGGGCUGCGGGCCUGCGCCGCCGCUCUCCAUCUUGGCAGAGCUCUCCAUGCGCAGCGGCCGCCGAGGAGUCGCGGGAUCGGAGCGGUCCGGGGACGCGAGUUUUUGUGGCUGGGAAGUCCAAGAUCAAGCUGCCGGCAGAUCUACUGUUUGAAUGGCAGCAUGGGUGGGGGCAGGAGGCAGGAUCCUCCACUUCAUUCACUGCUGUAUCCCCAGUACCACCUGGCAUGCAACAGAGGUCCGCACCACAUUCUUAAAACCUCCUGGCAAGACUGAGCUUCCAUCCUCUCCUGGGUGCUUCCAGCAGUGAUGUAAACAGCUCCGGGACACA